Molecule: ribosomal RNA, 497 nt
Filed under: uncultured bacterium
Lineage: Bacteria
Description: partial 16S ribosomal RNA
Rfam family: Bacterial small subunit ribosomal RNA
Source: RNAcentral
GAUGAACGCUGGCGGCGUGCCUAAUACAUGCCAGUCGAGCGAACGGACGAGAAGCUUGCUUCUCUGAUGUUAGCGGCGGACGGGUGAGUAACACGUGGAUAACCUACCUAUAAGACUGGGAUAACUUCGGGAAACCGGAGCUAAUACCGGAUAAUAUUUUGAACCGCAUGGUUCAAAAGUGAAAGACGGUCUUGCUGUCACUUAUAGAUGGAUCCGCGCUGCAUUAGCUAGUUGGUAAGGUAACGGCUUACCAAGGCAACGAUGCAUAGCCGACCUGAGAGGGUGAUCGGCCACACUGGAACUGAGACACGGUCCAGACUCCUACGGGAGGCAGCAGUAGGGAAUCUUCCGCAAUGGGCGAAAGCCUGACGGAGCAACGCCGCGUGAGUGAUGAAGGUCUUCGGAUCGUAAAACUCUGUUAUUAGGGAAGAACAUAUGUGUAAGUAACUGUGCACAUCUUGACGGUACCUAAUCAGAAAGCCACGGCUAACCACGUG